RNAcentral lists this long non-coding RNA (6936 nucleotides) under Vitis vinifera (wine grape). RNAcentral's name for it is "long non-coding RNA (VVIN_LNC000606)". The record is from RNAcentral. Lineage: Eukaryota; Viridiplantae; Streptophyta; Magnoliopsida; Vitales; Vitaceae.
CCACCCCCAGUGCCAAUAUACAAGAAGCCACUACCACCCCCAGUGCCAGUGUACAAGAAGCCGCUUCCCCCACCUGUUCCAGUUUAUAAGAAGCCACUUCCUCCACCUGUUCCAGUUUAUAAGAAGCCACUUCCUCCGCCAGUCCCAGUAUAUAAGAAGCCGUGUCCUCCAGAAAUUCCUAAGAUCCUUCCACCACCAAUACCAAUAUACAAAAAGCCGCUUCCACCUUUUGUUCCAAUCUACAAGCCAAUUCCACCUAUCUCCAAACCUCUUCCUCCAUUUCCUCCAAUUUAUAAGAAGCCAUGGCCACCCAUUCCUCAAGUCCCUCUUCCUAAAUUUCCUCCUGUCCACAAGUUUCCUCCAAAGUACUUCCACCACCCCAAGUUUGGAUUUGGUUCUCCUGUACCACCUUAUUCUUCUCAUCCAUAGGUUAUCCUAGUUUACUUUUCAUGAUCAUUGUUUCAUAAGGAAGAGGUUGGCAUGCAUUGUUGGUACUAGAAUAAGUUAAGCCUCCAUGGUAGAGAGUACUUGAGAGUGGGAGAAAGACAAAACCUGAAUCGUUGUUAAUUAUUUCCAGUAAUGAAAUGAAUAUGUAUGUGUGGAUUGUUCUUAUUAUCACAUUAUGGCCUCUGAACCUUGUAAAUGUUCUAUGGUCUGUGAAUGCAUCUAUGGAAUAUUAAUAUGUUCACUUAAAUGAAAACAAUAGUAUUUUCACUUUCAUUUCAUCUGAAAAUUUCACUUUAAAAAAUGCAUUACCACUUUGUUUUGAUCUCCAUAUUCAUGAAUGUAUUCUGCAGAAAUCGUAAUUUUCUUAUUGAUUUACAAGACUCUCAAGAAUAUUCACAAGAAGAGAAUAAUAAUAUAAAAGAGCUUUGAUAGACUGAAGGUUAUCCUUGGGCACCUGAUAAACCAAUUCAUCAACCUGCCAUUUUUCCAUUUACCAAAGAAGCUAGUCAGAAUACAGAGGUUGUUUUGUCUAGUAAGGUAAGCAAACUCUCACCACGACCGACUAACAACGGGCAACCCAGUUAUGAUAUUAGCAUCUUGGGAUUUUUUCUCUACAAGGCCCUUAAUUGGGUUCAUAUAUGGACCCCAGAAUGUUUGUACUCAUUAAGCUUUUCUUUUAUUGAAAAAAAUCACAAUUAGAUCUCAUGUUGUGAAUUAAAAAUGGCAGGUUGACAAUUAAAUGUGGUGAUAAUCCUUGUUUUCUUUUGCCUGUUCAUUAAUUGCUCUGUUAAAAUUGCAGAAUGAUUUGAAAUACCCAUUAGAUUGCCCUGGUGAUACUUUUAUUAGUUGCACCAAAUCUGAAACCGAAUACUGAGCAAACCCUUAUGGAAAAAUUAAUAAGCAGUCCAACCUAAGUGUAGGCUUCUCAGGGGAAAGCUCAACUUACCUUGGAUACAAUAACAGAAAGAAUAGAACAAAUUCGUCCUUACAACACAUGAAAGAGAGUGACCAAAAGAGUGUCCUCCCACCAGAAUGGCUGGUGAAACAUUAUGACAACAACAGAAAUUUUACAUGUUCACAACAUAGCUGUGUGGUUCAUAUAGCAGCAUUUGUUAGGCAAAUUAAUUAUGUGUUCAUGGAACAAGCAACAUGAGAUCUGUCAAGGAACAAUGGUAACAAAAAUCAACAGUAAAGUACAGUCCAGAGUUUUACCAAAAGCAUAAGCAUUUCAGCAAUUCAGCUUUCUAUAAAAGCAAAAUUUAAAGUAUGCUGGUAAGUAGGUUUACAGAUAAUAUAAACUGCAGAUGUGCAGUGGAGAGCUGAUUCAAAGAAGUGAAUGGCCUUAAAUUGAUUAAAAAAAACUGGUGAGGCUGUUACUGUUUUUCUCUCCCCUAUUACACAAAUCAUAAUAAAGGGUAUCUAACCUCAUGUAUGGCCCUAAAGCAUGGUGUUGGUGAGCCCAUUAAAUCGAUUCCUCAAGAUCAUUAUACAACAAGGUCUUUAAAUCUCAAGGGCCUAAGUCAAUGAAGCUUAACAUCAACCUAUAGAAGCUCAUGGCUUCUUCAUUUCAUUGUCUUUUCAAUUUUUUUGUUUGUCAUUAUAAUAGGGGAUCAUAAGGGGGCUAGGAUUCCCAAUAUGGACACAACCUAUAUGUGAAAGGGGCACUUCUCGGCCUCUGGGUGGCACUGCUAUUUUCUGUGAGCUUCUGCCAUUGCAAUGUGCAGAUUGUGCAGAGAGUAAUAUUAACACCAGCCAAGCCUUAUCAGGUAUGUUAUUUUCAAGCUACCAUAUACAGAUUUGUCUUGUCCUGUGAUGGGCACAUGGUCAAUUUUAAGUGUCUAGGGUUGUCCUUGCCAUAUGCUGCAAUGCUAUGCCAUGUUUUCCUGCAUACAAUUCUUUCAAGACUUCCAAAUAUCAUUUCCUUGGGCAUAGUUGAUCCAUGGGCCUGUCUUUAAGAUUCCUAACGCAGAUAUGAAGGCCUUGUGGUCUUUUAUGUUCCAAGGAUGUGACAAUGACAAUGGCAAUAUACUGUAUUUAUAUUCAUGAUCCAAAUGCUCUACAAGUCCCAUUAUCCUUCCUCUGUCAAUUUCAGCAGUUUUUGUAUGAAAAUAGGAUGGUUGAAAGUAAGAAAUUCACCGCUCCAAACCUGCUCCUCAAGCCAGUGAAUGUUUGACAUUGAAAGCUGUUGUUAACAUCUAAGGCUGCAAUGCCCAAAUCUAAUACGAGCCCAGGUCUGAACAAUUAAUAUUGAAGAACUUAUCCAUUGUUUUCUGUAGGCCUUGGCUUAACCAUUGACUGCAAGCUAGAAAAUGGAGAGUUUAAAACAAGGAAAGUUGGAGACAUCAACCAAGAAGGGAAAUUGUAAGUUUUUCUUCCUAAGGAGACUGUAAAAAGACAGUUCAAAGAGGAAUACCUUACACAGUUUCUCAGUGCAUCAGCCGCACCAUGCCCUGCCCAGAGUGGCCUGCAGGCCUCCAAGGUAAUUUUGAAGUCCAAAAUUGAAGGCAAACACAUAUUUGGCCUGGCUGGAAACUGAAGUUCUCAUGAAAAACAUGCACUUCUGCAUUCUUAUGGCCUUUCUAUAAGUACCCACCUCUACCUAAGCUGCCACCUUGGCCCAAGUUGCCAUCCUUUCCCCAAAAAUCACCCAUGGUUUAAGCCCUUGCCCAAGGUUCAUCCUCAAACAAACACUGGUCUACAAGAAACCACUUCCACUACCAGUGUACAAGAAGCCACUACCACCAGCAGCAAUAAUAUACAAGAAGCCCCUUCCACCACAUUUCAGUUUAUAAGAAACCACUUUCACUGUCUGUUCCAGUUCAUAAGAAACCACUUUCAUCACCUGUUCCAAUUCAUAAGAAAACACCUUCACCACCUGUUAUGGUUCAUAAGAAAUCACAUCCUCCUGCAAAGCCAGUAUUCAAGAAGCCCUGGCCACCUCCUGUCCCUGUUGUUAAGAAGCCACUUCCAUCUUCUGUUCCCAUAUACAAGAAGCCACUUUCCUUUCCCCUUCCAAUUCACAAACCAAUACCAGCUUUCUAUAAACCUCUUCCUCCACUCCCCCCAGUUUAUAUGAAGCCAUUUUCUUCCUAAACCUCUCUAACCCUAUAUUUGAUUAAAUAUAUUCCAAAUCGUUGAAUGAAGACUGAGUAGCUAGGGAAAAUUGACUUAAGGAAAUUUAUAGUUAAAAUCCUAGAAUUUUCAAAAACCCAAUUUUAGAAUUCAGAGAGUGAGCAAUCCAAAGAUCUGAAGUUUAGGAUCAAAUCUAUCCUUAAGACAAAUUUGCAUUUGAAACCUAGUUUUAUCCUUUCCUGUUCUGAUCACUAAAUCAAAUACAUAAAUCAAUUAGGCUUUUGGUUCAUAUGUCAAACCUGCCAUCUAUCUUGUAGAUUCAGGUUUCAAAUAGAUCAUAGUAGAUUUGAUUGACUAGUGAUCAAGGAAUUACUAAACAUCACUAGCAACCUAAUAGAUAUCUACCGUAUUGUAUUCUAAUCCAAAGGAUACAGAGAAUUUAUUCUGUCCAUUAAAUCAAACGUAAACCCUAAUCCUUUUAUUUAACUUUAUGGCACUCAUUGCUCCUCCUUGUCCUGCUCUUCUAUCUUCAUGCUAUAAUUCCAGAUGGAAAGGUCUUAGCUUCUAAUAGUCAGGUUUUCACUCACAGAAACUAUAAGAAAACAAAGAUCUAUAUGUAUUGCAAAAUGAGAAGUAAAGAGCAAAUUUCAGAAGUAUCAAGGAUAAUAGUAUAAUAUCUUUCUCUGUAUCUCUAAUUUUUUCAACCCUAAAAAAGGUAGUGAGUGCCCCAUGUCGUGUCUACGUGAUUUACCAUCUCUAGAAGUGCAUAUUUGGGAACCAAUCAGACCUGUAUGGAUUGUUCUGGUUGUUUCACUGUGACUUUUGGACCUGGUGGAUGUUCUGAGUUAAUAUGCCUGGACCUAUCCAAAUGAUGGUACAUCUAACUUUCAUUUAUACAAAUAUGAACCCCCAAGUCAAAGUAAUGGAUCAAGACUGCAUAACCAAUUUCUAUAUAUGCAAAGAAUUUCAGAUGGAAAACUAGGGAAAAUGGGAGGGAAGCAACCAAUCAUUUCUUUCUUUUUCCUUCAUUACUGGUUUGAUUUUAUCAGAUAUGACUGCUUUCUACUCCCCCAAGUAUGAAUGCCCAUUUCCUCUCUCCAAAAUCCAUCCACCCUCCUUCUCCCCUUUUGUUUUAGCAUGAAUUAGGCCUCAUAUCUCUAGCAUGGCAAAACCAUACAUGCAGGAAAUUUCAGGUAUAAAACUCUCCAGAGUGCUGAUCCCUGAUCCCAGGUUCUGCUUUUGAUCAGUAACCUAAUUCACUGCAUGAAAACCAUCAUCCUGAAUGACAUAAAUAUUUGAUUAGUCAGAAAAAUUCACCACCUUUUGUUGUACAAGAGAAUAAUGAAGAGGUUUGGUGGAGUAGAACCAAUAAAUGACCACAUUUUAUCUUGGUGAGAUAGUUGGGCAUUUAUUUUCUGCCACCCCUAUCCACGAAAGAUCCUUCUCGAUCAGAAAAUUAGCUAAUAUAACCAAGGCCAAAGUCUUGUUUUAUCUGCAGCAAAAUAAGCAAUCUUCAACAGGGGCAUAAACUACUAUUAGCAUCCUGAUUGGUCUCAAUUGGGUUCAUAUACUAGUAUAAGCCUCUUAGCUACAAGGGUAAGGUAGAUGUGAGCUUGAUCUUUCUGUUCAUUACCCUAUUAAUAUUUUUACAAUGAUUUUGAAAAACCCUCAUUAAUUUGCAUUCAUGACACCUUUGUGGCUAAAAUAAAUAAUCAGAUAGGAAACAGCAAAUGAAAAGAAUUAGAAUGGACUUAUCUUCACUACAAAAGUGGCACUUGAAAGGUGUUAUCCAAAGCAGUCCCACAAAGAUGCCUGGUGGUUUGGAGGCAGGUGAACCAUAAUAACAACAUGCAUGUGUAAACAAAUUAUGCAUUCAUGAAGGUCAGAAUUGGUGUUGUGAUCGAUCUUGUAGGGCUUAAGUUUUGAUUUUUGUGGCAUUUUGGGAAACCCAGUUUUGGCAUUUAUCGGCCAACCCAGGUCUCCAUUUCUGUUUAUGUAAUGAUCUUAUUUAUUUAUUUAUUUGUUUGUUUAUUUCUAUGGACUGGCUUUAUUCCUGUGCUCAAACUUAAGGUGUCCCUGGUUUAGGGUGAAUUGGGUUUAAAAAUGUAGUCUAUUACAUAUAGUUGCAUAUUAGUUUUAGAAGCAAAAAUUUCCUAGAUGUAGUCUUUGCUAUAGCUACUAGCAGUUCUGAAUAUAUUUUUCUUGUGGAGGUCUUCUAAUAAUCUGCAUUAAGUGCUUUUACCUAAGUUUUCAAUAAAUUUCUCCUUCAAAAUGGAAAGAUUAUCUAAAUCAUUGUUGAGAAAAAAAAAACCCAGAUAAUUAUCUGGGUUAAAGUUUGGAUUUCUCUACUCUUUUUCUCACCUUUCUGAGCAACUAAAUAUUUGGAUUUAGAUCAUAACUCAUAUGAGUCUUUGAAUUUGUGCUUAGUGACCUGACCAAGCCUCCUACGAUGAGUGCAAUCAAUUCAACUGAUUUGAUCCUAGCCCAAGCUCAAUCCAAGUUGGAAAAUUUGAAUUAGAGGUUUUUGUUGUAUCAAACUUGGGGUAUGGGACCUAAAUGAUAAGGUUGGAUUGCUAGGAAGAGUUUUACUAGAGCAUGGGCAUUUCAGCAACUCAACCUACUAUUUUCAUUGAAGCAGAGUUUUAUGAGUGCUUGGUGAGUAGGUUUACUGAUACAAGAACACCAAAAUGCAGCUGCCAAGUGGACGGUUCAUUCAAUGAGGUUAAUGCUAUUUGAUGUACAAACUUAGUAGGCUUUGUCACAGUCUUUUCUUUCCCUGCAAACACAAACCUUCUCAAUUCAUCUAGAGCUCCAUGUGAUGCUUUUAAAGAGAUGUCAGUAAGCCUCCAAAACCGGUUAUUUACUAUCAUUAUAUAACAAGUGUAGGACUCAAGUCACUCAAGGUCUGUAUCAAACAACAGAAGCUUGUAAAGCUUGUAGCCUCUCAACUAAGAUUUUGCCAUUGUCUUCUCUUAUUGUGAGCCAUAAGGGGCAGGGUUCCCAAUGCAGGUUCUUCCCAUAUUUCAAUGGGCAGGUCUAGGCUUCUUUAUAUCCCUGCUGUUUGCUGUGAGCUUCUGCCAUGGCAACAACCAGGAAGUCAUGGUCGUUGGGACAGGAGAAUGUGCAGACUGUGAUCACAGUAACAUUAAGACUAGCCAAGCAUUUUCAGGUAGUCAGUCAUCUUUUUACUACCUACUCAAUUGGGCUUCUCUUACUGUCUAGUUUCACGUCAGAUUUUUUCUAUAAUGCCAUGAUCUGAAUAAACAACUAAUGCUGAAGAUCAUAACAGUGAACUUGUGGAUUAUUUUGUGCAGGCCUCGGUGUAACCAUUGAAUGCAAGCUAGAAAGCGGGGAGUUCAAAACAAGGGCAGUUGGAGAGCUUGAUGAAGAAGGGGAGUUCAAACUUCCUCUUCCUAA